RNAcentral lists this ribosomal RNA (198 nucleotides) under uncultured bacterium. Its description in RNAcentral is "partial 16S ribosomal RNA". It matches the Rfam family "Bacterial small subunit ribosomal RNA", at positions 1303 to 1500 of the family's 1533-position model. The record is from RNAcentral.
GGCUGAAACUCGCCUAUAUGAAGUCGGAAUUGCUAGUAAUCGCAGAUCAGCAUGCUGCGGUGAACACGUUCCCGGGCCUUGUACACACCGCCCGUCACACCAUGAGAGUCGAUAACACCCGAAGCCUGUAGUCUAACCAUAAGGGGGACGCAGUCGAAGGUGGGAUUGAUAAUUAGGGUGAAGUCGUAACAAGGUACC